Long non-coding RNA from Fukomys damarensis (Damara mole-rat), 449 nucleotides. RefSeq lists it as uncharacterized. The record is from RefSeq and is a predicted model, not a curated record. Lineage: Eukaryota; Metazoa; Chordata; Mammalia; Rodentia; Bathyergidae. The transcript is spliced from 3 exons.
ACACCAUUCUGAGUCAACCUAACUCUUCUGCCUUCAUCUUUCACUUAUGAGAACCCUGUAAUUGCAUUGCAAGGAGAUGCAUUACGCACAGUAGCCAAAAGAAAGAAAUAGCAUAAAUAUCCAUCAAUGGGAGAAUGGAGAAACACACUCCCAUGAGUACUCUUCGCAUCUGCAAUUGAAUAUUUUAAGCUACAGACGGGAAUAAAGCAUUGAUACACGCUACAGCCUGGAUAGAGCCUGAAAACACACAGUGACGAGGACAUCACGGUCAAUGAAGCAAACAAGAAAGCUGCCACUGUGAAGGGUGCUGCUUGGGAAUAGAUUCCAAUGGCUGUAUCCUUUAGACCAAGAAUACUUUCAAUAUUGCUGCAAAGAACGACUUUCAAUAGUAUUGCCUGUAUUCUUAUUUGAGAGGCGAAAUAAAAAGGUAUAGAAAUAUAGGUUUGUAG